UUGACAGCCCUGGAGACUGAAAUCCUCUAUUUAUCCACAGGACAGGUACAGCACAGGCAGCGACAGUGCGAGCUUUCCCCACACCACCCCGUCCAUGUGCCUCAACCCUGACCUGGAGGGACCACCUCUAGAGGUGAGAGGGGAUGUUCAGUCUCCAAGGCUCACUCAAUCCUUCCGCCUCA
Molecule: unclassified non-coding RNA, 182 nt
Organism: Aotus nancymaae (Ma's night monkey)
Lineage: Eukaryota; Metazoa; Chordata; Mammalia; Primates; Aotidae
Source: Ensembl